UUGGAGAAUUUGAUCCUGGCUCAGAACGAACGCUGGCGGCAGGCUUAACACAUGCAAGUCGAGCGCCCCGCAAGGGGAGCGGCAGACGGGUGAGUAACGCGUGGGAACGUACCAUUUGCUACGGAAUAACUCAGGGAAACUUGUGCUAAUACCGUAUGUGCCCUUCGGGGGAAAGAUUUAUCGGCAAAUGAUCGGCCCGCGUUGGAUUAGCUAGUUGGUGGGGUAAAGGCUCACCAAGGCGACGAUCCAUAGCUGGUCUGAGAGGAUGAUCAGCCACACUGGGACUGAGACACGGCCCAGACUCCUACGGGAGGCAGCAGUGGGGAAUAUUGGACAAUGGGCGCAAGCCUGAUCCAGCCAUGCCGCGUGAGUGAUGAAGGCCCUAGGGUUGUAAAGCUCUUUCACCGGUGAAGAUAAUGACGGUAACCGGAGAAGAAGCCGGCWCUCU
This 448-nucleotide ribosomal RNA is filed under the name Brucella melitensis. Its description in RNAcentral is "bacterial SSU rRNA". It matches the Rfam family "Bacterial small subunit ribosomal RNA", at positions 1 to 502 of the family's 1533-position model. The record is from RNAcentral. Lineage: Bacteria; Pseudomonadati; Pseudomonadota; Alphaproteobacteria; Hyphomicrobiales; Brucellaceae.